CCUACGGGGGGCAGCAGUGAGGAAUAUUGGUCAAUGGACGAGAGUCUGAACCAGCCAAGUAGCGUGAAGGAUGACUGCCCUAUGGGUUGUAAACUUCUUUUAUAUGGGAAUAAAAUGUUCCACGUGUGGGAUUUUGUAUGUACCAUAUGAAUAAGGAUCGGCUAACUCCGUGCCAGCAGCCGCGGUAAUACGGAGGAUCCGAGCGUUAUCCGGAUUUAUUGGGUUUAAAGGGAGCGUAGGUGGAUUGUUAAGUCAGUUGUGAAAGUUUGGGGCUCAACCGUAAAAUUGCAGUUGAAACUGGCAGUCUUGAGUACAGGAGAGGUGGGCGGAAUUCGUGGUGUAGCGGUGAAAUGCUUAGAUAUCACGAAGAACUCCGAUUGCGAAGGCAGUUCACUGGACUGCAACUGACACUGAGGCUCGAAAGUGUGGGUAUCAAACAGGAUUAGAUACCCCGGUAGUC
This 460-nucleotide ribosomal RNA is filed under the name uncultured bacterium. Its description in RNAcentral is "partial 16S ribosomal RNA". It matches the Rfam family "Bacterial small subunit ribosomal RNA", at positions 338 to 795 of the family's 1533-position model. The record is from RNAcentral.